Juglans regia (Persian walnut) is the source of this 2209-nucleotide long non-coding RNA. RefSeq lists it as uncharacterized. The transcript is spliced from 7 exons. Lineage: Eukaryota; Viridiplantae; Streptophyta; Magnoliopsida; Fagales; Juglandaceae. The record is from RefSeq and is a predicted model, not a curated record.
UUUGGGUGUCCAACUACUCUCAGCUAUUCUUGAUAGUUCUUGUACGGAUAGAGAUACUCCACCAUCCAAACAGAUUAGAAUAUUUGUAAAUAACUUUCAACCCCAUGUGACUCUACUGUGUUUCGAAGGACUGAGCUCAAUGGUAAAAAGAAAAAAGUCUGCCCCCGAGGACAACAUCCCCUCAUCCUUCGCAGGGUCUUCUUCCCCAAAUCACCCGAGUCGUCCUCGCACAGCUGGGAGAGAAUCCCCCCACAGUGAACCAAAGACUCACCCGUACUCGACCUCUAUCUCCCUCUCUGCAAUACCAUUUCAUGUCUCUCCCUUUCUCUCUGUGUCCACAAUGUAGUACGCGAACCUGAUGAGUUGGGAAUCGAAUCUCUCCAUCGUGAUUCGCUGCUCCCUCACCGAACGCGUGCUCCAUGCUCCAUCCCAUCUCUACUGAACGAUUUCGAUAUCACUGGGUUUUGGCAGGGUAUUUUGUCUGAGGAAGAUUCGAUUCCUCAACCCGUGCCCCUAGAAUCCCACAUUUUCCUGAUAACUAUAAACCACCCAUGGCCAAAGCCACAUUACGUACCAGCCAAUCGAAGUCUAGGGUUCGAAAGCAACAACACUCAAGAUUUCAUCCCACCACAUUAUUCAUCACGGGGCCUCAGACGUGAUCCUUUAAGCGAUACUAUCUCAGAUCUUCAACGCAUGCUUCGAGGGAGAAUGGAUGUUGGGAAUGAGUCAGAUGAUGAACCGUAAGUAGAGGCAAAUAACCCCACCGAAGCUGGCUCAAGUGGUAACCAACCUCCAAGCCAUGACGAUUACAAAGCUUGGCGGAGACGUGGAGCAUCUAGUAGUAACUAGCCUCCAAUGUGGGACGAAUACCUACGUACGAGGAUGCGUGAUGAUUCGAUUUGGGAUAACAUGUUUAUGUUUACAAUCGCAGCAGCAGAGGAGAGCGCAUUGCCAGUGUUUGAGCGAAUGCCAGAACACAAUAUCGGCUUACGUGGACGAGACUAUAUAAUUGCAAUUCUCAAUGGACAUCCGAAUAACUGUUGGAACUUAUUUCGGAUGGAGAUAUAUGCAUUUGAAGCGUUAUGCAAUACAUUGCGGGCGAAUGAAUAUCUAACAUCAACAAGAGAGGUUUCUGUGGAGGAAGCUUUGGCAAUGUUUACAUACACAGUCGCACAUGCCAAAGUUCAACAAAUCACAGCCGACCGAUUUCAACACUCUACUGAAACAGUUAAUCGGCAUGUGUAUGUAGUGAUGGUUGCCCUAUGUAAUAUUGCUCUUGAUGUAAUUGCACCUACACAUACUACUGGGGUAGCACCAUAUAUUCAAGGCAAUCCAAAACAUUAUCCAUGGUUUGAGAAAUGUAUUGGUGCAAUUAACGGUACUUAUAUCGAUGCAGUGUGCCUGCCGAGGCAACUAACGCGUAUCUGUCUCGUCAUCAACAAGUUAGCCAAAAUGUACUGGCAGCCUGUGAUUUCGACAUGAAAUUCACAUUCAUAUACGUUCUGGGAAGGCACUGCCCAUGAUGCACGCCUAUUUAUGGAUGCAUUGAGUCGUCCAGGAAUCGAUUUCCCAUUGCCUCCUGAGGGAUUCCCACCUUCAAAAUUUGGAAACUCCAUGCGGACUCCCCUGUGAAAGUUCCUCCAUCCCUCAUGAAGUUCUAGCUCACGUUCAUUAUGCUGCUCUCGUUGAUGAGUCUGGUUGGCCACAACAGUCCUCAUCAUAUCAGCCAUUUGACCAAGUUGUUCCUGAAUUUCCUGGAGCUGCUCUUCAUGGGUGUCGACCUGUUGUUGCAGAAGUUCUUGGUGGUGCUUGGACCGUGUUCCAUCAGCCAUUGGAUCGGCUGUCUUUGGUACCAAUUUGUUAGGGUGCUGUUGAGGCUAGAGGUAAAUACAGCAACACAAUGAGGUUGAGCUUUCUGCUUUGGGAAUGGCAACAACUGACUCUCUGAUAGACACUGUUGCAACAACUGCACCAGAGGGGUGAUUAUUAGAUAGUCGUCCCAGAGUAGGGACACACGGUACUCCUUUCCAUCCCGGACCGGACCGAGUAAUGUUUUCAGGUUCCGGACUGGGCCAAGAAAAAAUUCGGCUCCGAUGAACAGUCCUAAAUUGGUGCUGUCGAUAGUAAUGGUCUAAUUUUCUAUUUUUUGUCUGAAAAUGUAUUUUCUAGGAAUCAAAGCUUGUUAGCAAUGCUAUCAUUUUUGCGAAAC